CUACUGCUCCCUUUGUUCCGAAUUACUUGUCGCAGGUAUGAAUGUAUCUAGAUGUAUUUUAGUUCUAUAUACAUCCAUUUCUGCGACGAGUAAUUUGAAACGGAGGGAGUACCAU
Molecule: non-coding RNA, 115 nt
Organism: Triticum urartu
Lineage: Eukaryota; Viridiplantae; Streptophyta; Magnoliopsida; Poales; Poaceae
Source: Rfam